UACGGAGGGUGCGAGCGUUGUUCGGAAUUAUUGGGCGUAAAGCGCGUGUAGGCGGUUUUUUAAGUCUGAUGUGAAAGCCCUGGGCUCAACCUGGGAAGUGCAUUGGAAACUGGAAGACUUGAGUACGGGAGAGGGCAGUGGAAUUCCUAGUGUAGGAGUGAAAUCCGUAGAUAUUAGGAGGAACACCGGUGGCGAAGGCGGCUGCCUGGACCGAUACUGACGCUGAGACGCGAAAGCGUGGGGAGCAAACAGG
RNAcentral lists this ribosomal RNA (253 nucleotides) under uncultured prokaryote. RNAcentral describes it as "partial 16S ribosomal RNA". It matches the Rfam family "Bacterial small subunit ribosomal RNA", at positions 524 to 776 of the family's 1533-position model. The record is from RNAcentral.